AUUGAACGCUGGCGGCAGGCCUUACACAUGCAAGUCGAGCGAGAAAUUUUCUUCGGAAAAGAGUAAAGCGGCGGACGGGUGAGUAACGCGUAGGAAUCUACCUAGUAGUGGGGGACAACAUGUGGAAACGCAUGCUAAUACCGCAUACGCCCUAUGGGGGAAAGCAGGGGAUCUUCGGACCUUGUGCUAUUAGAUGAGCCUGCGUCGGAUUAGUUUGUUGGUAGGGUAAUGGCCUACCAAGACUACGAUCCGUAGCUGGUCUGAGAGGAUGAUCAGCCACACUGGGACUGAGACACGGCCCAGACUCCUACGGGAGGCAGCAGUGGGGAAUAUUGGACAAUGGGCGCAAGCCUGAUCCAGCCAUGCCGCGUGUGUGAAGAAGGCUCUAGGGUUGUAAAGCACUUUCAGUAGGGAGGAAAAGUUAGUAGUUAAUAACUGCUAGCCCUGACGUUACCUACAGAAGAAGCACCGGCAAACUCCGUGCCAGCAGCCGCGGUAAUACGGAGGGUGCGAGCGUUAAUCGGAAUUACUGGGCGUAAAGCGCGCGUAGGCGGUUUGAUAAGCUGGAUGUGAAAGCCCCGGGCUCAACCUGGGAACUGCAUCCAGAACUGUCUGACUAGAAUACAAUAGAGGUGAGUGGAAUUUCCUGUGUAGCGGUGAAAUGCGUAGAUAUAGGAAGGAACAUCAGUGGCGAAGGCGACUCACUGGAUUGAUA
Molecule: ribosomal RNA, 715 nt
Filed under: bacterium IMCC7645
Lineage: Bacteria
Description: bacterial SSU rRNA
Rfam family: Bacterial small subunit ribosomal RNA
Source: RNAcentral